UACGGGGGGGGCAAGCGUUGUUCGGAAUUACUGGGCGUAAAGGGCUCGUAGGCGGCCAACUAAGUCAGACGUGAAAUCCCUCGGCUUAACCGGGGAACUGCGUCUGAUACUGGAUGGCUUGAGUGUGGGAGAGGGAUGCGGAAUUCCAGGUGUAGCGGUGAAAUGCGUAGAUAUCUGGAGGAACACCGGUGGCGAAGGCGGCAUCCUGGACCGGCAUUGACGCUAAAGCGCGAAAGCCAGGGGAGCAAACGGG
RNAcentral lists this ribosomal RNA (253 nucleotides) under uncultured bacterium. Its description in RNAcentral is "partial 16S ribosomal RNA". It matches the Rfam family "Bacterial small subunit ribosomal RNA", at positions 524 to 776 of the family's 1533-position model. The record is from RNAcentral.